Molecule: non-coding RNA, 78 nt
Organism: Schistosoma mattheei
Lineage: Eukaryota; Metazoa; Platyhelminthes; Trematoda; Strigeidida; Schistosomatidae
Source: Rfam
AGCUUUCUGAAUCUGUGCCAAGGUUUCUUCACAAACCAGCCCGCAAGGACUGAUGAAAUUUUUAAGAUAAGUGGGGCA